RNAcentral lists this unclassified non-coding RNA (342 nucleotides) under soil metagenome. Its description in RNAcentral is "partial contains 5.8S ribosomal RNA, internal transcribed spacer 2, and large subunit ribosomal RNA". The stretch from base 5 to 119 matches the Rfam family "5.8S ribosomal RNA", at positions 40 to 154 of the family's 154-position model. The record is from RNAcentral.
GAUGAGAACGUAGUGAAAUGCGAUAAGUAAUGUGAAUUGCAGAAUCCAGUGAAUCAUCGAAUCUUUGAACGCACAUUGCGCCCGCCAGCAUUCUGGCGGGCAUGCCUGUUCGAGCGUCAUUUCAACCCUCGACCUCCCUUUGGGGAAGUCGGCGUUGGGGACCGGCAGCACACCGCCGGCCCUGAAAUGGAGUGGCGGCCCGUCCGCGGCGACCUCUGCGUAGUAAACCAACUCGCACCGGAACCCCGACGUGGCCACGCCGUAAAACACCCAACUUCUGAACGUUGACCUCGAAUCAGGUAGGACUACCCGCUGAACUUAAGCAUAUCAAUAAGCGGAGGA